CAAGUCCCUGGUAGGUUCGUCCUUGCUCUGAGGGAAGAGUGUGGGCCACAGGCCAUGGGGACACUCUGAGGAUGUGGGUGCUGCCCAUCUUGAAGUUUCUCCCCACCCCUCUCCGGAGCUGCUACCAUUGUCCUUUGCCCUCGGAGUGCUCUCCUCCCACCCCCGCCGCCUCUUGUUCUCUUUCUCCCUUGAGCCGUUAGAAUGGCAGGGAGCCCAGCCAGGGCCUGGACGGCGGCCUCAGCUCCCUGUUCUCAAUAAUUGUGUGUGUGUGCAUGUGUGCAUGUGUACGUGUGAGUGCCUGUGUGUGUGCAUUGUGUGUAGGGGCUGGGGCUGGAGUCGACAACAGAUCAGAGCACAGGAGUAGAGCGCUUCUGGGAGGGUGGGGCCACCCGUGAGUCACGUCCUGCACCCUGGAGCCCAGAGGACCCUUCGCUCAAACCCACCACCAGCUGGCAACACCGGACCAGACCAGCCGGAGCCGCUUUCUUCGCUGCGCAGAGGAGCCUGGGAGAAGCCAGAGGUGUAAGUCAAGCUGUGGAGGGACUGGGUGUGGCUGAGCCCCGUGACAAGUGGGAGGAGCCAGGGAUGCUUGGGAGGGGAGGCACUGUGCGCGAGAGAGGAGGGAAAGGGGAAGCGUUCGUGCCUCUCUGCCCCCUGUCCCCCUCUUGCUGCAUAGUAGCCACAUCCAUGUCUCUUGUACCCUGCAAUCUGGAGGCCACUGCCAGAAGCUGGAAAUCUCAAGUAGAGCAGCAAAAGGCUUGAGGAUGGAUUCUUGGCUCCUGGUGCAUUGCCACUCCCUGCCACCCUCCUCCUUGUCUUCUAUCUUCUCCUGGUGGCGUCAGGCCUUGCUUCGUGUCCCAACAGGAGCCUCUGGGGCUGGCACAGCCCUCACUGCCUACAACCUGGGCCUGGUGGUUCUCCUAGGGUGCCUCUGGGAGGCAUCUUCCUGGAGACAGGAAGGUAGGCACUGUGGAAUCAGCGGUGCGUAGAACAGUGAGGAUUUGGGGCUGAACCCAGCCCAGGUGGGCCAAGCCGUGGCACCAGCCGGACUGCAGUCUGAUGGAACUUCCCCUUCCUGCCCAGCAGAUGGCGAGCGUGUGCUGCUGGUGCCUCUUUCCAAAGGACGUUGAAUUGCUUGACAGCCCUGCCCAGCAUCUAGAAGACCACCUGAAGCUUUCACACUUUGAGACCUUAGAUCCUGCGAGGGUUUGAAUUUCAAAAGCUUCAAUUAAAGCACACAGUGUUCUUUACUUUAUGAAUGAAGCCAGAGCAGCCCACCUUCCUGCAUCUCUACCACCAUGGCACCAUGCCCUGUGAUGGGUGGGCUGGAGUCAAAUAUGUAGCAGGCAGCCAGGGUCAGUUUGUGGCCACUGCUGCCCCCUCUUCCUACAGUCUCCUCACUGAGUGCCCCUUCCCUGUUGGGUUCAACACAUCUGUGCUCCUGUAAGCCCUCAGCCUCCUCGUUCUCUUCCUCAACUUCUACCACCAGACACAUCUGAGAAGCAAGCAAGAGAGGCUGAACUAGGAGCAGGACCCAGGGACUGAAACCAGCACAGCAUCCCCACAGAGAAUUGGGUGGAAGGCAGCAUGGCUUCCAGCUUACUGGUGCUGAGCAGAUUGCUCUGGGUCUCCAUUGUAUCCUCUGAAGGAAGGAGGAGGAUUGCCUUCUGUCCAGAUCUCAGGAUCAAACAAAUAGGUCCAAUUUCCUGUGCUCACUUCAGUUAGAGCACUUCUCAUGUGACUUUGUAGCUUUGUGUGCAUCUCCUUCCUCUACUAGACCUAAGCCCCUCACGGGAGGGACUCUCUUAUUCUUGAUGUUCCCCACACCUGGAAUUUCAAUAAACAUCUCAAUAAACGUGUGUGUUUGGAUCCUUGGAUCCCAUGACUGCCGUCAUAACCUUGGUGAAGAAGAGGGCUGGGAGUAGGAAAGAGGUCAAGGUUCGCUUGAUCUCUAACCCUAUAGUGGGAAAUUGUGACGGAGAAUAUUCAAGAGUGGGUGUGGGUCUGUUUGAUUUCAGGUGUAGCUGUGUAAAUAGUUAGCCCUGCAUAUAUUUUUGUCUACUCACAACUGCCUGCAUGUGUAUUCAUAGAGUUGUGUGAUUCUGUGUAUGUGCCUGGGGAGUGGGAGAGGGCCAUGUGCACAUGUCUGAAUACUUGUUUUCAAAUAUACAUGCAUGUUUCCAUUUGGGUUUCUCUCCAUUUGUGUUGUUUGCCUGCCUCUUCUGUAAGUCUCUGAAAGUGCCACAUUGGCAAAUAAAAGCCACUGGGAUCAAUAAUUCUCCUGUUCUGAUGGGAGACAUGGAAGCCCACUGAGAAAUCUCCGAAUACAUGUUCCACUAAGAGCUUCCAAAAAUAAAUGGGAAAAAAGGAGAAAUGGGGCACACCCAUCUUCUUCACAGAGAGGGAAACUGAGGACCAGCAAAGGGGAAUAUAUGACUGAGAUACUAUGGCAGAAGCAAAUAUUGGCUGAGCUGUUCAAACCCAGAAUAGGAUGGGUUUCUUGAAAGCAGUUUGCCUGGGAGCUGUCUCUAUGUCUCCAGUAUGAUGACUUUUCUCCUUUAUAAUUGCCCUUCGGCUGUUUUUCAUCUCUAGGUAAGUUCUUAUUUUGCCAUGCCUCAAUAGUCAAGAAAAUUAAAGAAUUGCUGAAGGUUAUGCAGUGCUAUUUGGGGACUGUGUCUCCAUCUGGCCUUUUAGUUAAUCAACCCAAGGCCAGGCAAGGCUACAUCCUGUGGACAGAAUACUCAGAGAAAAUUCC
RNAcentral lists this long non-coding RNA (2755 nucleotides) under Homo sapiens (human). Its description in RNAcentral is "HSALNT0184601". Lineage: Eukaryota; Metazoa; Chordata; Mammalia; Primates; Hominidae. The record is from RNAcentral.